GCAGUCGAACGCGAAAGUUUUCUUCGGAAAGCGAGUAGAGUGGCGCACGGGUGAGUAACACGUGGAUAACCUGCCCUAGAGUCUGGGAUAACACUUCGAAAGGGGUGCUAAUACCGGAUAAGCCCACGCCUUCUUCGGAAGAAGUGGGAAAAGAUUUAUUGCUCUAGGAUGGGUCCGCGGUCCAUUAGCUAGUUGGUGGGGUAAUGGCCUACCAAGGCUGCGAUGGAUAGCUGGUCUGAGAGGAUGACCAGCCACACUGGAACUGAGACACGGUCCAGACUCCUACGGGAGGCAGCAGUGGGAAAUUUUGCGCAAUGGGGGAAACCCUGACGCAGCAACGCCGCGUGAAGGAUGAAGGCCUUUGGGUCGUAAACUUCUGUCAGAGGGGAAGAAAUGCCCGCAAGGGCGCUGACGGUACCCUCAAAGGAAGCACCGGCUAACUCCGUGCCAGCAGCCGCGGUAAUACGGAGGGUGCAGGCGUUGUUCGGAAUUAUUGGGCGUAAAGAGCAUGUAGGCGGACUGUUAAGUCUGGUGUGAAAGCCCGGGGCUCAACCCCGGAAGUGCAUUGGAUACUGGCAGUCUUGAGUAUGGGAGAGGAAAGUGGAAUUCCGAGUGUAGGAGUGAAAUCCGUAGAUAUUCGGAGGAACACCAGUGGCGAAGGCGGCUUUUCUGGACCAAUACUGACGCUGAGAUGCGAAAGCGUGGGGAGCAAACAGGAUUAGAUACCCUGGUAGUCCAC
RNAcentral lists this ribosomal RNA (739 nucleotides) under Desulfuromonadaceae bacterium enrichment culture clone MS_NAP_N1. Its description in RNAcentral is "bacterial SSU rRNA". It matches the Rfam family "Bacterial small subunit ribosomal RNA", at positions 57 to 798 of the family's 1533-position model. The record is from RNAcentral. Lineage: Bacteria; Pseudomonadati; Thermodesulfobacteriota; Desulfuromonadia; Desulfuromonadales; Desulfuromonadaceae.